This 484-nucleotide ribosomal RNA is filed under the name uncultured bacterium. RNAcentral describes it as "partial 16S ribosomal RNA". It matches the Rfam family "Bacterial small subunit ribosomal RNA", at positions 30 to 507 of the family's 1533-position model. The record is from RNAcentral.
AUUGAACGCUGGCGGCAGGCCUAACACAUGCAAGUCGAGCGGAUGAAGGGAGCUUGCUCCUGGAUUCAGCGGCGGACGGGUGAGUAAUGCCUAGGAAUCUGCCUGGUAGUGGGGGAUAACGUCCGGAAACGGGCGCUAAUACCGCAUACGACCUGAGGGAGAAAGUGGGGGAUCUUCGGACCUCACGCUAUCAGAUGAGCCUAGGUCGGAUUAGCUAGUUGGUGGGGUAAAGGCCUACCAAGGCGACGAUCCGUAACUGGUCUGAGAGGAUGAUCAGUCACACUGGAACUGAGACACGGUCCAGACUCCUACGGGAGGCAGAAGUGGGGAAUAUUGGACAAUGGGCGAAAGCCUGAUCCAGCCAUGCCGCGUGUGUGAAGAAGGUCUUCGGAUUGUAAAGCACUUUAAGUUGGGAGGAAGGGCAGUAAGUUAAUACCUUGCUGUUUUGACGGUACCAACAGAAUAAGCACCGGCUAACUUCGUG